ACCCGCUGAACUUAAGCAUAUCAAUAAGCGGAGGAAAAGAAACUAACAAGGAUUCCCCUAGUAACUGCGAGUGAAGAGGGAAAAGCUCAAAUUUAAAAUCUGGCGGUCCUUGCGGCUGUCCGAGUUGUAAUUUAGAGAAGCGUCACCCGUGCUGGACCGUGUACAAGUCUCCUCGAACGGAGCAUCAUAGAGGGUGAGAAUCCCGUACAUGACACGGACUCCCAGUGCAUUGUGGUGCGCUCUCGACGAGUCGAGUUGUUUGGGAAUGCAGCUCAAAAUGGGUGGUAAAUUCCAUCUAAAGCUAAAUAUAGGCGAGAGACCGAUAGCGAACAAGUACCGUGAGGGAAAGAUGAAAAGAACUUUGGAAAGAGAGUUAAACAGUACGUGAAAUUGUUGAAAGGGAAACGCUUGAAGUCAGUCGCGUCCUUCAGAGAUCAACCCGGCCUUUCGCUUGGUGCACUCUUUGGAGGACGGGUCAGCAUCAAUUUUGACCGAGGGAAAAAGUUGGUAGGGAUGUGGCACCUUCGGGUGUGUUAUAACCUAUUUGCAUAUAUCUCGGUUGGGAUUGAGGAACUCAGCACGCCGCAAGGCCGGACUUUUGUCACGUUCGCGCUUAGGAUGCUGGCAUAAUGGCUUUAAUCGACCCGUCUUGAAACACGG
RNAcentral lists this ribosomal RNA (660 nucleotides) under uncultured fungus. Its description in RNAcentral is "eukaryotic LSU rRNA". It matches the Rfam family "Eukaryotic large subunit ribosomal RNA", at positions 23 to 664 of the family's 3401-position model. The record is from RNAcentral. Lineage: Eukaryota; Fungi.